AUGCCUUUUUGCCUACGUGGUGCCAGGGGCAAAGUAGGGGAGAGCGAAAAACAGCUUUGGAUACAACUAUUUCGAAGGAGAAUAAAUAUGAAGAUGCCAAAUUCUAGCUUUUCAUUAUCUAAAAUCCAUGUUUUUUUUUCUUUUAAAAACCUUCCAAUCUUCAGUAUAUCUUUAAAAGCCCACUUCUUAGCUGCUAGCCAAUCCACACCAAUUAUUUAAAUUCACUUGGCACACACCUUUGUCCACUGGGUAAAUUAUAUUCAUUAUGCCCACUGCUGCAGCAUGCAUAAACCAACACCCCUGCAUGGCUGAACAGGGCCUAAUCUAGGACUGAUGGGAGAAGAGCUUGCAAACCAAGAUCAAGAUGUCAUUUCUCUGCUAAUACUCUCUACCAAACUGAUCCCUACAAAAAUUCACAUAAAAGCAGGCACGUUUAGCUACUGUGUUGCAAGAGAAGCCAGGACCUUGUUAAAUAGUUCUCUCCAUUACCAUUUAUUCUCUCAAGGGAAGCUUUAAAAAAAAAGAAAAAGAAAAAACAACAAAUUGGUUUGACCACCUCAUAAAUCCAACAAGCAUUGGUGUGGCAUUUCAGUGGAGAAGGAAACUUGGGGGGGAAAAACUCAUCAAGGUUGUAAGAAGGGCUCCCAAUUUAACUGUCCCUGUCCCUAUUUAUCCACCUUUAUUCACCACCCAAGACCACUAUUAUUCUAGAGCACUCUGAUCUAUAAAGGGGGUCAAAGCAUCAGGAGCAGGCAGGUGUAAGAACCAAAAGACAAGAAACCAAUUUGCUUGAGAAAAGCAGAGAUUCUUCCUUUUACAGCUCUCCAUGGCUGAGAGAGACAAUGCCCAAGAGAUCAUCUCUGUGACUUAGAGACUGCUUUUUCAGAGGUUAAGAGUAGCAUGAAGAACUUAAGAUGAUGACAAGAGUCUGAAUUUUUAAAGUUUCAAGGUUUCAACAGAAUGUGGAUAUAUUCGAACUUUCAAAAAGGAGAGUGUUUAGAAAGGGAAAACCAGGACAC
This 1019-nucleotide long non-coding RNA is filed under the name Macaca mulatta (Rhesus monkey). Its description in RNAcentral is "lncRNA (ENSMMUG00000060121.1)". Lineage: Eukaryota; Metazoa; Chordata; Mammalia; Primates; Cercopithecidae. The record is from RNAcentral.